This 468-nucleotide ribosomal RNA is filed under the name uncultured bacterium. RNAcentral's name for it is "partial 16S ribosomal RNA". It matches the Rfam family "Bacterial small subunit ribosomal RNA", at positions 28 to 507 of the family's 1533-position model. The record is from RNAcentral.
GACGAACGCUGGCGGCGUGCUUAACACGUGCAAGUCGAACGGAAAGGCCCUGCUUUUGUGGGGUGCUCGAGUGGCGAACGGGUGAGUAACACGUGAGUAACCUGCCCUUGACUUUGGGAUAACUUCAGGAAACUGGGGCUAAUACCGGAUAGGAGCUCCUGCUGCAUGGCGGGGGUUGGAAAGUUUCGGCGGUUGGGGAUGGACUCGCGGCUUAUCAGCUUGUUGGUGGGGUAGUGGCUUACCAAGGCUUUGACGGGUAGCCGGCCUGAGAGGGUGACCGGCCACAUUGGGACUGAGAUACGGCCCAGACUCCUACGGGAGGCAGCAGUGGGAAAUAUUGCACAAUGGGCGGAAGCCUGAUGCAGCAACGCCGCGUGCGGGAUGACGGCCUUCGGGUUGUAAACCGCUUUCGCCUGUGACGAAGCGUGAGUGACGGUAAUGGGUAAAGAAGCACCGGCUAACUACGUG